AUUGCAUGCAGAGACUGCACAGGUCUGACAGAAAAAUAUGUCCACAAACAUUUUUCUAUUUCUAGCUUUUAAGUAUUUAGUGCAUAGUAGACCAAAAGACACGAUUCAAAAAGAGAAGGCCAGAUGGAAGAAAAGAUGGGAAGCCAUCCCGAUUUUGAAAAUUUUAAGAAAUGUACACAAAACCAAAGAGCAGACAUGAGCAGGGAAAACAAAGUUUGAAGAGGAGACAGGGAGCGCAACCCUUCCGGAGAAAAGAAUCGUCCUGAUCGGCAGCCGAUGGGGAGCACAUAAAGCUGUUGGGAGAGCGGGUCUGGCGGUUCACCAUGGUGCUGUUCACCUGUGGGGAUUACCUCUGGGAAAAGACGAUGGAGCAGCACAUCGCUGCUGCAGUCUGUUCCUCCUGCAGUUGCUGCUGCUGCAGUCUGUUGCUGCUGCUGCAGUCUGUUCCUGCUGCUGCAGUCUGUUGCUGCUGCUGCAGUCUGUUGCUGCAGUCUGUUGCUGCUGCUGCAGUCUGUCCGGCGCUCUGCUGUGAUUUAUAGACCAACAGAGGAGCUAAUUGCACUGUUUCUACGUUGACCACCAAUUUCCAGUAAACACCAUCUAACUUGUUGGAGGCUGUGAUAAACGCAGCAUGAGUGUUUAUGACAGGAUAAAUUGACGAACCUGUCACUUAUAUAAUAUUCAGAAAAUAUCACCGGCUCAAAAGCAAUUCUUAUUUUCAAUGAUAACUAGUAGAAAUGUUUUCUGUUUAUUUCAAUUUUUCCUGGUUUCACAAUUUGAAAACGAAAACACAAAUAGUGGUUGUGUUUCAUUCCUACAUCUUUUUCUGUCAAUAUUCAUGGUUAUAAUUGUGAUUCUUUAAAUAUUUUUUUCUCAAAAGAGCUGGAGGACACCAUGUUUUGUCUUGGUACUAAGUUUCCAUCAGCAAAGGUUAUUUUAUCUUCUAUCAUGACCCUGCUGGCUCCCAGGAGUAGGACGAUGUUCCCGAGAGAGCAUUUCACUUCCCAAUGCAUCUUACUGUCUCCUCUAGUGUGAAUUUUGAGUAUUGAUACAUUUCUCUAGUGAGUCAAGAGAAGAUGUGCCGCUGACCACUAGGUGGUGCUGCUGUUGCACAUGAGAAUGAGGGAUUGUGAAGGAGCUGAGGAACAGAGGAGUUUGGCUAAUAUUAGCAACUAUGUUAAAGUGUCUGGGACAAAUGUGAACACUUAGUGGAACUGUGUUUUGUCUGGUAACUAACAGGAAAACGCUGCAAUGUGAUAAACGAAUAGCUCACUGUCUUCAAACAUGUAUUUCAAGAAGAAAUGCAAGAUCCAAUUUAUUCUCUAAUACAAUAUGAUCCUCAAACACAAAGGAUAAAAAGGUCAUACAACAACAUCGUACCUCUAACAUGCAGACAAGAAACCCAGUUUUUGGUUUUGUAUUUCUGCAAAACUGAGUUGAAGAUCCUGAUUGAAUUCCAACAUCUACAGAAAUUACAAAAAAAAUCAUUAAACCUAACAAGCUAACAGAUAACUUCCAUUUAAUUAAUUAUUAGACUGAGAAAAUUAAACAUAGCAGCUUACCUAGUGGUUGUAAAACCUGGGACUUCAAGGCUUUUAAACCCUUGUUCUCUAACUUCUUACACUAUUUAAUACACUUCACACAAGCUUUUGAUGGAUUUUUUUCUCCAACUAUUGAAAUCUUUGUUUACACACUUUUACUCAUUUUGCAGAGGUUUCAGAUGUAACCGUAUGUGUAGACACAGAGGUACUGCUGCAGAAGAAAAAGGACCAUGUUAUUUCUAAAUGUUAGCUAAUGAAUUAAACACACAGCAUGCUUCACUGCACAGGUGGAUAAAAACACAAAGGAUAAAAAGGUCAUACAACAACAUCAUACCUCUAACAUGCAGACAAGAAACCCAGUUUUUGGUUUUGUAUAUUUGUUGUCCAGAAACAACAAAAAUAAAAACAUUAUAGUUUUACUUUGAACAUUCUCAAGUUAAACAAAAAUGCAAAUAAAUAAUUUAUUUAUUGUCAAAUUCAAAUCCAGAAAAAAAAAUUGCAUUAUUUUGCAAUUUCACUUAAUUUGAUUUUACAUGCUAGUGAGUUUUUCAUUCAAGCAGCUGGCUGUACAAGUUCAGAUUUCUUGUUGCGGAAAUUCUGAAAUUGAUUUGUAAAGACGCUCAAAUCCCAUCUUCAAGUUAAUUUAUUCUGAAAGGGAAAGUU
This is a long non-coding RNA of Gambusia affinis (western mosquitofish), 2204 nucleotides long. RefSeq lists it as uncharacterized. The transcript is spliced from 3 exons. NCBI's taxonomy places the organism in Eukaryota, Metazoa, Chordata, Actinopteri, Cyprinodontiformes, Poeciliidae. The record is from RefSeq and is a predicted model, not a curated record.